Molecule: transfer RNA, 69 nt
Filed under: bovine gut metagenome
Rfam family: tRNA
About the family: Transfer RNA (tRNA) molecules are approximately 80 nucleotides in length.
Source: RNAcentral
CGGGUGUGGUAUAAUGGUAGCACGAAAGCUUCCCAAGCUUUAGACGAGGGUUCGAUUCCCUUCGCCCGC